GUUUAAUUUAAAAAGUGAAUAUUUUGAAAAUUAAUUUUGUCUAUAUAUAUAUAUUAGAUGUUCAAGAGAUCAGAGCCGAAGAGCUUAUACCAACGGAAGUAAUGGACAAGCUAAGUCAGGAAUUUUGUUGUUGUUUUUUGUUUUUUUUGUGUGCAAAUACAUUUAUGCUUUUUUAGUUUUUUUUAAAGUUAUUUAGCAACUGACUGUUUUCAGUUGUGACAGUUUGUCAGUCAGCAAGUGACUUUUGUAACUUUUAAAUUUAUUUUAUUUAGAAAAAUUAGAAGAUUCUGUUGGGAAUCUAAAAAAAUUAGAACAUUCAAUGGGUAAACAGAAUUUGAUUAUAUUACAUUUGUGUAUUAUAGAUAAAGAUAGAGCGUUUUACUUUCACAAAAAAAGAAAAUUUAGAAAAUUCAAUUGGUAAGCAAAGUACAC
This is a non-coding RNA of Hydra vulgaris (swiftwater hydra), 432 nucleotides long. NCBI's taxonomy places the organism in Eukaryota, Metazoa, Cnidaria, Hydrozoa, Anthoathecata, Hydridae. The record is from RefSeq and is a predicted model, not a curated record.